This 496-nucleotide ribosomal RNA is filed under the name uncultured bacterium. RNAcentral's name for it is "partial 16S ribosomal RNA". It matches the Rfam family "Bacterial small subunit ribosomal RNA", at positions 28 to 506 of the family's 1533-position model. The record is from RNAcentral.
GAUGAACGCUGGCGGCGUGCCUAAUACAUGCAAGUCGAGCGAACAGAUAAGGAGCUUGCUCCUUUGACGUUAGCGGCGGACGGGUGAGUAACACGUGGAUAACCUACCUAUAAGACUGGGAUAACUUCGGGAAACCGGAGCUAAUACCGGAUAACAUAUUGAACCGCAUGGUUCAAUAGUGAAAGGCGGCUUUGCUGUCACUUAUAGAUGGAUCCGCGCCGUAUUAGCUAGUUGGUAAGGUAACGGCUUACCAAGGCAACGAUACGUAGCCGACCUGAGAGGGUGAUCGGCCACACUGGAACUGAGACACGGUCCAGACUCCUACGGGAGGCAGCAGUAGGGAAUCUUCCGCAAUGGGCGAAAGCCUGACGGAGCAACGCCGCGUGAGUGAUGAAGGUCUUCGGAUCGUAAAACUCUGUUAUCGGGGAAGAACAAAUGUGUAAGUAACUGUGCACAUCUUGACGGUACCUGAUCAGAAAGCCACGGCUAACUACGU